CGUGCCUAAUACAUGCAAGUCGAACGCACUCUCGUUUAGAUUGAAGGAGCUUGCUCCUGAUUGAUAAACAUUUGAGUGAGUGGCGGACGGGUGAGUAACACGUGGGUAACCUGCCCUAAAGUGGGGGAUAACAUUUGGAAACAGAUGCUAAUACCGCAUAAAACCUAACACCGCAUGGUGUAGGGUUGAAAGAUGGUUUCGGCUAUCACUUUAGGAUGGACCCGCGGUGCAUUAGUUAGUUGGUGAGGUAAAGGCUCACCAAGACCGUGAUGCAUAGCCGACCUGAGAGGGUAAUCGGCCACACUGGGACUGAGACACGGCCCAGACUCCUACGGGAGGCAGCAGUAGGGAAUCUUCCACAAUGGACGAAAGUCUGAUGGAGCAACGCCGCGUGAGUGAAGAAGGUUUUCGGAUCGUAAAACUCUGUUGUUGGAGAAGAAUGUAUCUGAUAGUAACUGAUCAGGUAGUGACGGUAUCCAACCAGAAAGCCACGGCUAACUACGUG
This 505-nucleotide ribosomal RNA is filed under the name uncultured bacterium. Its description in RNAcentral is "bacterial SSU rRNA". It matches the Rfam family "Bacterial small subunit ribosomal RNA", at positions 43 to 507 of the family's 1533-position model. The record is from RNAcentral.